This is a long non-coding RNA of Oreochromis aureus, 3704 nucleotides long. NCBI's taxonomy places the organism in Eukaryota, Metazoa, Chordata, Actinopteri, Cichliformes, Cichlidae. The record is from Ensembl.
AGAAAACGAGGAUAUUUUUAAUCUCCUCUGGUGGAGUCCCUUUUCAACGACGUUCAAAGAAAACCAAAGAAAAGACACCAGGACAAGUGUUGUAUUGCUAGGCAAAAAAAAUUUAUAAAUUAAUAAAAACAUUCCCUUUGUAGUGUUCUUCUGACAGCUUUUCCCACUUUGCAAGUUGUGUCCUCUUUUUCUCUAAUGAUUUCAAAAUAUAGAAAAAUAUUUCUGACAACAUUCACCAUGACAUGAUUUUCAGAUGAUUUUCAUUCUGUUGCGUUAAUCAUUUCACAUACGUCUCCCACUUGCUUAUCGUUGUUUUUUUUUUGUUUUAUACACAUAUAUAUAUAUAUAUAUAUAUAUAUAUAUAUAUAUAUAUAUAUAUAUAUAUGUGAACAGUAUUUACACAUCAAAAUCAAUCCAUACCAUCUCUCAGCUUCAACCCAGAGACACCAGAGCAUGUUUUGCAUAGAUCACAGAGGGGAAAAUGUCAGAGGUGAAAGGUCAAAGCCUUUGAAAGAAACAAGAUCAUAACAAAAAAUAUCAAUAUCAAACAUGGCACAGAUUGGACAUUUCGAAGCGGCAAAUGAGUCCUUGAGAUGUUUACUGUCCCACCCCUCCACUUUCUGGUGGAGGGUGGUGCUGCAGCUCGCAAUGUAAAAACAGGAGUGGCAGUUCAACAUUUUGGAUUACUGUUUGCAUUCACACAAAAAAAAAAAAAAAACCCCAAAAGACAUUACAAGCUCUAAAUUAAGCAAAAACACGGAAAAAAUUUCAAAGAACAAUUUUAGUGAAAUUUAUUUUUAAAGUUUUUUUUUUACUUAAUUGUCAGAUCAAUUUUAGUGUUCAAGAAAAUGUUUAAAACAGCAGAAAAAAAAAGGUAAAAACAAACAAAAACUGUCAAACAUAAUCUUAUGGAGCUUAGCUUUGGGUUUACAACUCCUCCUUUUUUUUUAUUUGUCAGUUAACAGAGUCUGAGAACAACAAUACCAGGCCAAGGAAGCAGGUUUGGAGUCUGAGCAGAGCUGAGAUGAGACGCUGCAGCUCACACUGGCUGAGAUGCUCGUUCACAAAGAGCUCACUCGUUUUGGAAGGCCAUCGUUCAUUGUGCUAAACAAAUUAAGCAUGAACUUUUUUUUUUCAGAUUUGUUACAGCAUGAUUACUCCGUGGCCACUAGAGGAACAAAAACAUGUUGUGCAUCUAGCCGUGGUAGCUGCUGAACCGCAGAAAGCGUCAAAAUCAAUUUCCCGAAAUCAAAAAGAAUAAGAGAAAAAAAGAAAAGGCCUGUGCCUCCGUCCAUGACCCCUGUUAUGUGAACAAUUGGAGUGCUCAUGUAUAUAUAUAUAUAUAUUUUUUUUCUUUAAAAACCAGCAGAGUAUGAAAAGCAACUUCCAUAAAGCUAAGUAAAUCCAUCACAGUCACCAUGAAGCCUUGAUUAUAUUUGCCAGACUCCCUUUCAUUUAUCUGUGUGCAACAUGUGUUUUUUCAUAUAAUCACUGCUCUAAAUUAACUUCUGCUUACAGUCUUUCAAGGAAGACGUCAAAAGGCCCUGGUAGGAAAUAAUCCCCUUAUAAAAACGCCACAUUACAAACUUCAUCACAUUGGUUUUUGUAUACUUACAAAUGAACUAAAAAAGAUCAAAUAAAAUUAAAAAAUUCACCGCGAGUACAGACUGCAAUCCCUAAUUAGACAAAUUUAUUAAUGCCAAGUUCUUACUUAGAAGCUCCCUUUUCGUUAAUUAGGCUGAGCCUUAAAAUUUUUAAAUCAUUAAAAAACAAAAACUCUAACUGGCACCGUUUUGUGGGCUUGAAACGUUGACUAAAGAAGCACGAUUCGUGGAUAAGGUUCAUUACAGUGUUCAGACCGUGUACCAUCAAACUGUCUACGAUUGCUUAAACAGACAUUGUGAGUUUCAGGUAUCAGCGAUUGUCUUUGGUGUCCAUGAACACAAAUGACUGUAACUGUGACUGGAAGUGACACUAAGAAACACAGCAAGUACCAUCAAUCUUUAUCAGAGCUGUUUGUAAAAAAUAGUUUUGUUAGAAAACACAAUCUUGAGUGUAAAAGACAUGGAACCUGAUGAGGAAUGAGGCCCUCUGCUCUUGGUUUUUUGUUUCCCCUCCCUCGCUCUUCAGAUCACACAUGUACAGCAGACUGGGUGAUACACGGAUGGACGGAUGGCAGUGUGUAAAGUACAAGAGAGAUUUCUCUACCCAGAGCAAACAUUCAGCGUGAAACCUGUUUUCGCUGUCAUCGCCGAGCUCUGCAGGUGACUGCACGACUCACUAACCACUAAACCCUACUGCAUGGAAGCUAAUUUAAGCUCAGUACUAUUGCACAAACCAAACACUACUUAACUGUUAGUUUAUCAUAAAACCUCGCCUUAUCUGACAUGCAGACACUAUUUACCUAUUAAUAAAAAACCAGAAACAAACUAUGGGUCAUUACGAAAUGCAUCUAAGAAAUUCUGUAGAAAAGUGACUCACAGCCGGGACGAAAUCCCACACGUACGAGCAUGACGAACACGGCUAUGGCUUCGACGAGCUGAGGACGUCUCAGCUUGUUGCAGAAGGUGAAAGUGGUGUAAUGGGAAAGAAAUGUUCGACGUUUUGCAGGGUGGCAGGCAGUUUCUCUACUGCUAAGAGUUGAGAGAGAAUGGCUAGUAUGUGCAAAUAUGUUACUUGGAAAGCUGGGUCACAGGUAGAUGAUUUUACAAUGCACUCCUAAGAAUAAUGCACAUUUUUACAGUUUUUACAGUUUCUGGCAACAUUACAGAAAACUGCUACAGAUAUUACAGAGCUGUAAAAUGACUACUUACCAUUUUAUAAAAAAAAAAAGAAAAAAAAAGCAACAACCAAAAAACAAAUUAGCAACACAUUACAAAGGAAAACAGUGAAUAUCAAGUCUUGGCAAAAGCUUUUAACACUGUGUGGCUGCAACUUCAUUCAACCUCAAAACACAAUAAAUUAAAGAAAAGCUGAUCACAACCUGCAUCAGCACCUCCACAUGCACAUUUAUACUUGGUACCCAAUGAAAUAAAAAGAUAGAGUAGCUAUUUCACCAUUAAAAUGGAUGUUAGUGUUAAAAAAAAAAGUAGCAGCAUAUUAUUUUCCCAGAUGUCCUGUGUGUUCGGUUUGGCCUGUCUCACCGAGAAACAAAAUCUUUUUCAAGAAAAGUCAACGAACGCCUCAUGAGAUUCUGUUUCAUCAAAUUCAAAAUAAAGGGAAAUAAUGCCAACGCACAGGUGGAAUUUAAAAAAAUAAAAAAUCUUGCAGAAUUUCGGGUCUUUUAAAAACACUAAAUGACACACAAAGGAUGCGACAUGUAGAAGUAUGGAAGAGGAUUAGGGCCACUGGGGGAAAAAAAAAAAAGUGGGCACGUCUUUUUUUUCUUUUUUUCCAGAAUUAUUUAUUUCACUUUAAUCUCAGAAUUCUGACUUUUUUCUCAGAAUUCUGAGACUGAAGUCAGAAUUAUGAGAAAAAAAAUAAUUCUGAUGAAAAAGUCAGAAUUCUGAGAUUAAAGUCAGAAUUCUGAAUUCUGACUUUAAUCUCAUAAUUCUGACUUUUUUCUCAGAAUUCUGAGACUGAAGUCAGAAUUAUGAGGAAAAAAAAUAAUUCUGAUGAAAAAGUCAGAAUUCUGAGAAAAAAAGUCAGAAUUCUGAGAUUAAAGUCAGAAUUCUGACUUUUUUCUCAGAAUUCUGAGAAAAAAA